GCAUCCAUCUCCUGACUCCCCCCUUUCAGUCUGUGUACGGAGGAGGCUGCCAGGGAGGCAGCACAUAAACAACAAGAGGUGGCUCACCCGUGCUCUCUCUCCAAGGGCCGACCAUCGUCAUGCGGAGUUAACAGCGCCACCCAUCAGCGCCGGUCUGGCUGGGAGGAAGGAGAGUGAAGACAAGAGAGAUGUCGGAGAAGUUCAUCAGCGGUUUCUGAUGAGGCUGCUGGUGCUGCUGCAGCCAGCAAACACGCCUCACUGAGUUUCAAUGCAGCUGCGCUUUCCAAGACAAUCAAGAUGUUACCGUCUUCUUUGGAAAGCAAGAGUCAGCUAACAAGAGGCCCCUGCUGGUUGACCACAGCACGUCAAUGUCAAUAACGGCAACAUUCACCGGACUCAACACCACCGCACAAUGAGGACAACAAUUUGGAG
This is a long non-coding RNA of Gasterosteus aculeatus aculeatus (three-spined stickleback), 432 nucleotides long. Lineage: Eukaryota; Metazoa; Chordata; Actinopteri; Perciformes; Gasterosteidae. The record is from Ensembl.